This 305-nucleotide ribosomal RNA is filed under the name uncultured bacterium. RNAcentral's name for it is "bacterial SSU rRNA". It matches the Rfam family "Bacterial small subunit ribosomal RNA", at positions 337 to 640 of the family's 1533-position model. The record is from RNAcentral.
ACCUACGGGGGGCAGCAGUGAGGAAUAUUGGUCAAUGGUCGGGAGACUGAACCAGCCAAGCCGCGUGAGGGAGGAAGGUACAGAGUAUCGUAAACCUCUUUUGUCAGGGAACAAAGGCGGGGACGUGUCCCCGGAUGAGUGUACCUGAAGAAAAAGCAUCGGCUAACUCCGUGCCAGCAGCCGCGGUAAUACGGAGGAUGCGAGCGUUAUCCGGAUUUAUUGGGUUUAAAGGGUGCGUAGGCGGGUUAUCAAGUCAGCGGUAAAAUCGUGGAGCUCAACUCCAUCCAGCCGUUGAAACUGAUGAU